Non-coding RNA from Schistocerca cancellata (South American locust), 73 nucleotides. The record is from the annotation of a RefSeq genome assembly. Lineage: Eukaryota; Metazoa; Arthropoda; Insecta; Orthoptera; Acrididae.
UCCCGGGUAGCGCAGUGGUCAACGCACCUGCCUAUUAAGUAGGAGAUCCCGGGUUCCAAUCCUGGUCCGGAAC